Molecule: ribosomal RNA, 1417 nt
Filed under: Streptococcus agalactiae 18RS21
Lineage: Bacteria; Bacillati; Bacillota; Bacilli; Lactobacillales; Streptococcaceae
Description: bacterial LSU rRNA
Rfam family: Bacterial large subunit ribosomal RNA
Source: RNAcentral
GCUUGGAGAAGCUGGUUCUCUCCGAAAUAGCUUUAGGGCUAGCGUCGAUGUUAAGUCUCUUGGAGGUAGAGCACUGUUUGGGUGAGGGGUCCAUCCCGGAUUACCAAUCUCAGAUAAACUCCGAAUGCCAACGAGAUAUAAUCGGCAGUCAGACUGCGAGUGCUAAGAUCCGUAGUCGAAAGGGAAACAGCCCAGACCACCAGCUAAGGUCCCAAAAUAUAUGUUAAGUGGAAAAGGAUGUGGGGUUGCACAGACAACUAGGAUGUUAGCUUAGAAGCAGCUAUUCAUUCAAAGAGUGCGUAAUAGCUCACUAGUCGAGUGACCCUGCGCCGAAAAUGUACCGGGGCUAAAACAUAUUACCGAAGCUGUGGAUGACACAAAAGUGUCAUGGUAGGAGAGCGUUCUAUGUGUGAAGAAGGUGUACCGUGAGGAGCGCUGGAACGCAUAGAAGUGAGAAUGCCGGUAUGAGUAGCGCAAGACAGGUGAGAAUCCUGUCCACCGUAAGACUAAGGUUUCCAGGGGAAGGCUCGUCCGCCCUGGGUUAGUCGGGAYCUAAGGAGAGACCGAAAGGUGUAUCCGAUGGACAACAGGUUGAUAUUCCUGUACUAGAGUAUAUAGUGAUGGAGGGACGCAGUAGGCUAACUAAACCAGACGAUUGGAAGUGUCUGGUCAAACAGUGAGGUGUGAUAUGAGUCMAAUGCUUAUAUCUUUAACAUUGAGCUGUGACGASGAGCGAAGUUUAGUAGCGAAGUUAGUGAUGUCACACUGCCAAGAAAAGCUUCUAGCGAUACAUAUACUCUACCCGUACCGCAAACCGACACAGGUAGUCGAGGCGAGUAGCCUCAGGUGAGCGAGAGAACUCUCGUUAAGGAACUCGGCAAAAUGGCCCCGUAACUUCGGGAGAAGGGGCGCUGAUUUUAGAUCAGCCGCAGUGAAUAGGCCCAAGCAACUGUUUAUCAAAAACACAGCUCUCUGCUAAAUCGUAAGAUGAUGUAUAGGGGGUGACGCCUGCCCGGUGCUGGAAGGUUAAGAGGAGUGCUUAGCGUAAGCGAAGGUAUGAAUUGAAGCCCCAGUAAACGGCGGCCGUAACUAUAACGGUCCUAAGGUAGCGAAAUUCCUUGUCGGGUAAGUUCCGACCCGCACGAAAGGCGUAAUGAUUUGGGCACUGUCUCAACGAGAGACUCGGUGAAAUUUUAGUACCUGUGAAGAUGCAGGUUACCCGCGACAGGACGGAAAGACCCCAUGGAGCUUUACUGCAGUUUGAUAUUGAGUAUCUGUACCACAUGUACAGGAUAGGUAGGAGCCUAUGAUAACGGGACGCCAGUUUCGUUUGAGGCGUUGUUGGGAUACUACCCUUGUGUUAUGGCUACUCUAACCCAGAUAGGCAAUCCCUAUCGGAGACAGUGUCUGACGGGCA